Molecule: long non-coding RNA, 2030 nt
Filed under: Oryctolagus cuniculus (rabbit)
Lineage: Eukaryota; Metazoa; Chordata; Mammalia; Lagomorpha; Leporidae
Description: lncRNA (ENSOCUG00000032947.1)
Source: RNAcentral
AAUCUUCAGAAAACCACAUUGUGAAUCCUGGACCCUCCAGGUACAGAAAGGAAACCCCAACCUUCCCACUCAAGUAUUACCGAGUAACUUGCCUCCCCGAGUCAAGACUGGAGGUUGAAUUCAGGAACUUUUUGAAAUAUCCUCAUAUACACACAAUUUGCUCAACAACAGGACACAGAAGAACACAAACUCCUAUUCAGAAGAGGGUAAACAGAGACGGUGGGCACCUGCUCACUGCGUUUGGAAACCCUGUGGAGAAGAUGUUGUAAUGGUCUCCAACUGAGCAGGGAAGUCUUGGUAAUGGAAGCCCAGGGCCCCUAAAGCAGAUCACAGAGGGAUCCUGGAGACAGGCCAGCUCUCCAUCGAUGACUGCACCCCUCCUACUGGCCCAGAGGCGGGACUCCUGGGCCCAGGGCAGCUGCAGGAAUGCAGAGACGUUCUGUUUUGGGGAAGAAUUUCCUGAAUGCCUCGUCAGUUUGUCCAGCAUAGCUCCACUGUUUUCAAAAACGGACUGCAUCCUCCUCCUUCCACCCGGAGUGGUAAGAUCACAAAUCACAAGACCAGGGACUCCUUCUGACUUGCUCACCGCUGUAUCAUGAAGGCAUCCCCUCUAGUAAGUGUCUAGUAUUUGACAGUUGCUGAAUGAACACACUCAAGGAGUAUAUCAAUGCUCUAAAUAGAAAGGAAAUGAAAAGACUGGUGUUGCCGACUUAGGAGUUUUAAAUGAGGGCAGAAGAUCAUGAUGGGACAUUGAUGACAAAAUCCGAGAAUCACCAGGGAUUUGGGUUACAGGACUCACAGAGGCACAGAGUAAGGGACUUGUCCCGCAAGGCCACAUUCCUCAGCUUCUUUUCCUGCAAUCUGGGUUGCCUUGCUUUUCCUGCAUUAUCACUGGGAGCGUAACAGACUUCGCCGGAAGGAAGGAGGCAAAACCGCUCUGGUCCCCCACCUUCUUUCCCCUCUUCUCUUUCUCCUACCGCUAGCCAGGGAAAGCUCUUUAAUUAGGUUUAAUUAAAUAAUUGUGUGUUUAAUAGAAACUUGAGGUGAUGGUGAAAUGCAUAUAUCCUGUGUUCUCAUCAACAGCUGCCAACAUUAGCUUUCUCUCUGAGUACACUGAAGACAAAUGACUAGGAAUCUACACCACAAUGACACGUGGCUACCCUUUGAUAUCUAAGUCUGUGCGAAGCAUCACUUGUGCGGAAGUGCAUCCUGAAAGAAAGGAAAAGUUUUAGGAAACCGUGGAGGAGGCAGGUGUGUUCCACGCUGAAGAGCCACUGCUAGUGCAGUGUGUGUGCACUUGUUUUCCCCCAAAGUAUUAAUGUUUUUAUGUGUGGAACGAUUUCCAUCUAGAAGCUGACUGGGACACUUCUGUUUUUCCUUUAUGAUCAUUAUUUUAGUGUCAAAUUCUUUGCAAGAAGGGAAUUUAUUGUAUUCCUAUUUGUGUCCCUGCACUAUGUAAUACUCUUCUUAGCAGACAAAGCUUCUCAGUAAAUACCUGCUUGAACUGAAUGUGGCUGGUGGACGUUGCAAGUGUGAAGUGUGGUGUUGCUGGUUAUGGGUCUCUCACACUCUGAGAGAAACAGGAGAAGAGUCCCGCAUCUACCACUGUAAUCAAGGAACUAAUCAACUCCGGCUGCUGGGGGAGAACACGUGCCCAGCAUACUGGUGAUUGACAAAACGCAACAAUGGCACCAACUGGUGUUGCAGACUUUGUCUCACAUCUCACAGAGGGACACACGCAGAAGGCUGGGGCUUCGGCUUGGUACGUGCACGGCGGCACUGCUGUCUUUGUGUGAUUAACGUGAAAACGUUUUAACGUGUGCCGCCUUGGGAAUGGGAUCCACGAGUUAGACUCAAAAACUGUGUAUGGGCUAUUGUUUAUUAGUAGGUAACAGAGAUUGAGAAAGACCACAGGUUUGAAUUUGAAAAGCUGCUAUUUGCUAAGUGCUUUACUUAUCAAUUUCUAAAGCAUUUUCAACUUAGGUAAAUUUUAAAUGUAAUAAAAUUUGGAUUUUUAAAAGCUUAAAACA